RNAcentral lists this unclassified non-coding RNA (391 nucleotides) under soil metagenome. RNAcentral's name for it is "partial contains 5.8S ribosomal RNA, internal transcribed spacer 2, and large subunit ribosomal RNA". The stretch from base 1 to 122 matches the Rfam family "5.8S ribosomal RNA", at positions 35 to 154 of the family's 154-position model. The record is from RNAcentral.
GAUGAAGAACGUAGCGAAAUGCGAUACUUGGUGUGAAUUGCAGAAUCCCGUGAACCAUCGAGUCUUUGAACGCAAGUUGCGCCCGAAGCCAUUAGGCCGAGGGCACGCCUGCCUGGGCGUCAUACGUCGUUGCCCCCCCAUCUACUCCUUCGGGAUUGCGGGGGGCGGAUGAUGGCCUCCCGUGCGCCUCGUCGCGCGGUUGGCAUAAAUGCCAAGUCCUCGGCGACGCACGCCACGACAAUCGGUGGUUGCGAAACCUCGGUUGCCCGUCGUGUGCGGUCAUCGCGCAUCGAGGGCUCGAAAAAAUUGCCGGGCUCCGGCUCGGCUUUCAACGCGACCCCAGGUCAGGCGGGGUUACCCGCUGAAUUUAAGCAUAUCAAUAAGCGGAGGA